AGCUGAAGUGAUUUGACUGUUUUCAUCCAAGUCUCCUGAGAAUCCAGCAACUCCCUUGACGUGUGGCUUCUACAAACUCCCACCUGGUCUGGAGGGUUCUGUAUGUAGGUAAUGAUGCCUUGGGACUUUUUCUCCUCACCUGAAGUUGUACAGUGGUAGAGAAACAAGACUGGCUAUGAGUUGUCAGCAGAGAAGAUAAAAGCUGUCAGCCACGGACUGGAGUUGAGAAAGGGCAUGGGAAACUGAGAAAGCGACCAGAAUCGCUGGCGAUCCACUGGCUGGCGCAAUGCUGAAUCUCGAUGAGACCGCUUAGGAAUCCAGGAGAGCUGAACGUCCGGAUGAAUUCGCUGAAGGAAAAGUCGCUGGGCACCCCGAAGGGAACUCAGCCUAAAUCCACCUGCUUUGACUCCGCCUCCAGCUCUUCCCGCAGCUGGCGCUCAUCAGCUCGCUGGCUACACAAGGGUUUUCAUGUGGGGAGAUGCGUGCCCCGCGGCCUUGUGCACCAGCCUGCCUCAGCAUUCUCUGCUUGGCUUCCCACAUCUUGUGCCGCGCGCCGCUGCUGCUGACAUCGGCAGAGAGUUCCAGAAGGUUGGGCCUGUGGAGCAUUCAGUGCUGUGCUCGCCACAGAGCCAGUUUUAGGUAGUUCAUUUUGAGUCACGCUGGGACCUCAACAUACCUAUUUUGUUAUUCCUUAGGUAUGCUUGUUACAAUGAUGGUGGCGUAGUAGAAUGUCUCAACUAAACCUUAACCUGUGGCCUCACCCACAGAGAAGGCGUGUUUUUAUGUCAAGUUUCUAUACACAUGCAGCACAUGGGUGUGUUACAGAGCUUUCUCUUCUGUUCUGCUGGCCCAGCUGACUGUUCCUGAGCCAGUGCUAUGCUGUUGUUACUAUGGUUUAUCCUGUGUUGCACUGAGCAAGUCUCCCUUCUUUGCUUUGUCAAAAAGUUAACUUACUGGGGCGCCUGGGUGGCUCAGUCGGUUAAGCAUCCGACUUCGGCUCAGGUCAUGAUCUCACGGUCCGUGGGUUCGAGCCCCGCGUCGGGCUCUGUGCUCACAGCUCAGAGCCUGGAGCCUGUUUCAGAUUCUGUGUCUCCCUCUCUCUCUGACCCUACCCCGUUCAUGCUCUGUCUCUCUCUGUCUCAAAAAUAAAUAAAACAUUUAAAAAAAAUUAACUUAUUUCUUGAGCUCUCCCAAAAGAAAUCCAACUGGAAUUUUGAGCGGGAUUGCACUGACUUUGUAGGUUAAUCAUUAAUGUAAUUAGGUCUUUAUAGAGUCAUCCAAGAUAGGUCACCCUAUAUUAGGUCACCUAGCCCAAAAGCAUGGAACGUACUCUUUAUUCAGAUCAUUUCGUUUUCUUUAUUAAAAUUUCAAAAACCUGU
Lynx canadensis (Canada lynx) is the source of this 1379-nucleotide long non-coding RNA. RefSeq lists it as uncharacterized. The transcript is spliced from 3 exons. The record is from RefSeq and is a predicted model, not a curated record. Lineage: Eukaryota; Metazoa; Chordata; Mammalia; Carnivora; Felidae.